Molecule: long non-coding RNA, 1827 nt
Filed under: Mus musculus (house mouse)
Lineage: Eukaryota; Metazoa; Chordata; Mammalia; Rodentia; Muridae
Description: long non-coding RNA chr11:121295995-121297822
Source: RNAcentral
AGUGAAUCCUACGUAUUUUUUUAUGUUUCAUAGAAUUCAAUUCGCCACAAUCUCUCUCUGAACCGUUAUUUCAUCAAAGUGCCACGUUCCCAGGAAGAACCAGGCAAAGGCUCCUUCUGGAGGAUAGACCCUGCCUCCGAGAGCAAGCUGGUAGAGCAGGCUUUUAGGAAAAGACGGCCUAGGGGCGUGCCUUGCUUUAGAACCCCCCUGGGACCUCUCUCCUCUAGGUAAGGACACAGGAACCAGAGCCUGCACUCACUGUCAGUAAUACCACUUCAGCAUGUUGGCAGAGAUUCCUUCCAAACAGAAGAUCUGCGGAUGCCCGUACUGGUGUUGGGGUGGGGAACUGGGAAAAGGUUGGUUAUGUUUCUAUUUCCUAUCGCCUUGUUCACCUGUACUGCUUGCUGUUCCCUUGAACUUAAUGUAUAUCUUAAAAGUAAUUAGACUCCAGGAGGCAAGGUCAUGGAGCCACAUGGUAGUUUUCAUUUCUUUUGGUAUGUGAACAGUUCUUUAAAGUGACUUCCAGUUUUGUAAACUCAAGAUUUCUCAUUUGCCUGAUUUUAAAACCAUAUGUUUCACAUUCAUUAAGAAUGUUUUUAACCUGAAAGAAAUGAGGUUAUUAGAAGCCUUAAAGCCCCACAGUCUGCUCACUGCGGAGUCCUGCUGACUGGUUCCUUAGAAACACUGCUCUAGAGGGUAGCAGCCUUCUCAUGGAACUGAGCAACCUGUGUGGCAUGCGUGGCCUAGCGCUGGUACUGUCCAUUGAGCCUCACUGGGUCUCCACAGAGAAAGUCAGCCACACAGACCUGGGCUCAGUUGGCAGGAGACAGAGGCUUCCCUUUAUAAAGAUUAAAUGAAUGGACACAUCCUUUUUAGAGCAUCACUGUAAAAUACCCCUGUCUUCUUUUGGUGACCCAGGAGUGCCCCAGCUUCUCCCAACCAUGCCGGAGUGCUGUCUGCUCACUCCAGUGGCGCCCAGACCCCCGAGAGCCUGUCGAGGGAGGGCUCCCCAGCCCCCUUGGAGCCUGAGCCUGGCGCCUCACAGCCCAAGCUUGCCGUCAUCCAGGAGGCCAGGUUUGCCCAGAGUGCACCAGGUGAGAGAGACCCCAGGAGAAGGAAGAGGGGCAAAGGGGCUGGGAGUGGGGCCAGACAGAGAUGCCUGCAUUUGGCACUUUGUGUAAGUACCUGAGUGUUGUGUGGAUGGAAAGUUUUGGAAAAACCGGUGGCACUGGGAUUUUUUUCUUUCCUUUUUUAAAUCGGCAUGCAGGUGUGGUAGUGAGUGACUAUAGUAUUACCCAAGAGGCUAAGGCAAGGAUUGUUGUGAGUUUAAGGCCAGCCUGGCGUAUAUAGUGGAACCCUGUUCCUAAAAACAAAACUAAAAAGAAUCGGUAUUUCUUAAUGGCUUUCUUAAAAAAAAAAAAAAAAAAAAAAAAAAAAAAAAGCCCUUUCCUCACCAAAAGAAGUUAGAGAAACUAGGCACUGAUUGGAACAAAGAUGUAUCCCAUUUAGUGAGUAGAUGAAUAUUUCCAGUUUAGUUGCAGAUCCACAAUAUAGAAUAAAAUGUGUAUCUUAGUAAAGCUAGAAGAUGGGCAUUCUGGCGGCUAGGCUCAAUGGCCCAAAGAGACCCUGCCCUGCCACCUGUCUCCAGCUGCUGAUGUCCACUUGCUGAGAACCAGGAGGGCAGUGGCUCUGACUGCCUGUGGCUGUUUCUGAGUUUUGUGCCUCUGUCCUACCAGAAUGAAAGUGUUGGUUUGGAUUGGGGAUUUAGCUCAGUGGUAGAGUGCUAGCCUAGCAAGCGCAAGGCCCUGGGUUCGGUCCUCAGCUCUG